CCUUCUACCGCUUCCUCUCCGCCUUUCUUUUCAGUUUUUGCACCGCCUCCUUUCUCCCCCACCCCCUCCAGUGGUUUCUUUCCUUUGGGUUUGAGAGCCAUGGGUUAAUAGAGGCAAUUAAAAUCUCAGCGUUGUUUUGGUCAAAUUGAAAUCCUAAAACUAAAAUUUCCGUUAGGUACUCUAAAUUCACGAGCCUUCAAAUAUAAAAGGAAGAUAAGGUAGGAAAAAGGAAAAUGAUGUGCUGAGGGACUAUCAAGGGCCCAGGCACCGUACUGCUGCAGGCGCUUUCUCUGGGGUAUAGCUUAUCUAGUUCCUGUCACCCAGGACAAAAGAUAAAAGAGCAAAGAAGCAGUUAAAAUAAUACCCUCCCUUUAAAAAUUUGUCUGUCUAUACUGAGAACUGAAAUGCUUAAAAUCAAAUUCUGCAGGCAGUCUGGCAUGGCUACGCUGUAAUCCCAGCUACUCGGGAGGCUGAGGAGGGAGGUUAGCCUGAGCCGGGGAAGCGGAGCUUGCAAUGAUCGGAGAUCGCGCCACUGCACUCUAGCCUGGGCAACAGAACAAGCCCCUGUCUUAAAAACAAAACAAAAUCUUCAGAGCAGGCUUAAAAAAAAAUCUCCCUAGGGGA
This 624-nucleotide long non-coding RNA is filed under the name Homo sapiens (human). RNAcentral describes it as "non-protein coding lnc-HENMT1-4:1". Lineage: Eukaryota; Metazoa; Chordata; Mammalia; Primates; Hominidae. The record is from RNAcentral.